AGUUGACUCCAUGAGACGGCUUAGAGAGAACAGGGGUCAGGGGUAAAACAACUUAAAAACAGAGAGAGAAACCCGUGCUUUGGCCCCAGGCAGUACUCUCUCAAGCUAAAUGUAGCCUGUGUUUCCAGGGCCUGCACACUGGAUUCAGGACACUAGGGAAGCAAACUGGAAUUUCAGUCAAAUCAUAGUGAAGAUACAGAUCAAGCAGUGGGAAAUUCGAGGUCCGGGAGCAAAUCUACUUGGCCAGGAAUGAACCAUUUCCAGCAUGGGUGCUCUGGGGAAAGCCCCAGAACAAGCCAGGAGGAUUUCCAGCAGGAUGCCUGGGAACACAUAGAAGGCACAGUGGGAGUCUGACGGAAUGGCCACAGAAGUGAGCUCUGAAGCCUUGCUUCAUUUCACAGUGGUGUUUGUACCUUUGCCUGACUGUCUGUCUCCCAGGAAAGGAACGAGAGUACCUGGCAGCACUUCCCCCAGAUGAAGAGGUCAGCACUGUUUAGCCCCGCACUGCCAUGUUAAUUUACCGUGACAAGAUAAAGCAGUAAUCGGGCCAUCCCCUGGAUGAACCUCCCGCCAUCCAGGGACACGCUGCGGCUGAUCUGCACAGAGCAUCACUUUAUACCACCGUGGUUACAGAGCCCCCGAGUUUGUACAUGCAAGCCCUGCUCUUCCUUUGACCCCCUCCUACCACCUCAUUCCCUUGCGAUGCUUGUCUCUCUGCUUGGUGCACAGGUAGCCCACACCCACUCAGGGCUAAUCUCUGAAAACUUUAUGCUUUGCGUCUGACAGGGGAUGCACAAUGCGCCCCCCCCCCCCCACACACACACACACUCUGUCAGGUCUCCUCAUUUACAGGAAGACAUCCCGGGACUUAGAUAAUCCAUUGAUCCCACUUGCAUCGGCUUUUAUAUUUCAGUCUGUCGUGUUAAGUUGUCAAGAGCAGUGGUUAAACCAGUGUUUCACGAUCUGAGAUUGACUUUCUAAGGCUGGGUUUCUCAGAGCUUGCCUUCCUACCCUGCACUCCCAGCCAUCUCUAAGAAAGCAGCUGUGUCUUCACUGGCGUGAAUAUAGUAAUGAAACAAUAAAGUGUUUUAGGUCAGGACAUUUUAGAGAGACUCGGGUUAUAAGCAUAAGAGCGAAAAACCGAACAAGCUUUGGAAUUUCAAAGGAUGGCGUCUGUCUCGUUCUGUCUGCGGGAAGCAAAAACACCAUAUGUAAA
This is a non-coding RNA of Myodes glareolus (Bank vole), 1216 nucleotides long. The record is from RefSeq and is a predicted model, not a curated record. NCBI's taxonomy places the organism in Eukaryota, Metazoa, Chordata, Mammalia, Rodentia, Cricetidae.